UAAGCCAGAUCUCGUUGAAUCGGAUUAAUUGGAAUCCAUGAUCGUUGGUCACAAUUGAUGUGUUAGUUUCGGUGUUGGAAUGAUCUAUUUCCGUCCCCAUAGACGACGCCAAAUGUAGGUUCUGAAAUCCACACUAGAGAUUUGUAAUUGAGAUUAUGAGAAAGGAGGGCUAGAUCUUCACAGGAACUUUGAGAGUUAUAUUGCUAAGAACGAUUGGACUUUUGUAUUGAUUAUGACAGAGCUUUUACAAUGUGAAAGGAGAUUACAAGUGUAAAAGUAUAAGUGUAAAUGUAAAGAUGUAUUGAAUUGUCCCUUCAAAGUCGUCCUUGCUCCCUUAUAUAGGUCUACGCACGUCGUAGCUCCGUCCGGGAUCUACAGAGAUUCCUCUGGAUAUUCGGCAGGUCAGUUUCGGGAUAUCAGGUCCGCUUUGCGAAUUCCUCCCAGUUAGUUCUUAGGUUGUUAUUCGCUUAUCUUCCUUCAUCAGGUGACCGGUAUUAUCAGGCCCAAAUACCCAUUCGCGUAUGUGGUCUCAUCAGUUGCGUCGGUCCUCUACUUGGGGGGCUUGGUGGCUUAGUGGGCUAACUUGGUAUUUUCGCAGGUGGAUUCCUGGAGGGGAAUCCAGCUCCAACAGUUUUCUUCUUCGUAAUCCUGAUGCUAACCCAAGGAAGAGCUGCAAUGCCAUCUUGAUCAGAGAAGGAGAUGAUAUGUGGGAGGAAUUGGACACUGAAGACGAGUUGGAGCUCGCAGUUGUAGAGAUGGUGUCGACCGACACCCUCCUCUGUCGAUCGACACCAUACGGGACGCUCUUCUCAAAGACGACCCAAUACGACGGUGUCGAUCGAUACCUCUCUAGUGUCGAUCGACACUGGAUCCGGACAGCACCCUGUGAGGUGCAAAUACCUAUGCAGCCCGAGUCUGUCUACACUCCUCAUGUGCCUUAUCCGAGGAGGCGUCGUUCUAAGCAGGAGCUUCAUGCUGCCAAGUGCACAGCCGUAAUGGAGAAGAUCCUCCAUACUCUUCCUAAGGAUGCUUCUGAGACAUCUUCUAUCUCACUCAACAGGUAUGUCAAGCGACUUGUUGACAAUGGAAUUAGCUCAGAUGAAGCU
Molecule: small RNA, 1106 nt
Filed under: Arabidopsis thaliana (thale cress)
Lineage: Eukaryota; Viridiplantae; Streptophyta; Magnoliopsida; Brassicales; Brassicaceae
Description: ATSL265320
Source: RNAcentral